GAUGAACGCUGGCGGCGUGCCUAAUACAUGCAAGUCGAGCGAACGGACGAGAAUCUUGCUUCUCUGAUGUUAGCCGCGGACGGGUGUGUCACACGUGGAUAACCUACCUAUAUGACUGGGAUCACUUCGGGAAACCGGAUCUAAUACCGGAUAAUCUUUUGAUCCGCAUGGUUCAAUAGUGAAAGACGGCCUUGCUGUCUCUUAUAGAUGGAUCCGCGCUGCUUUAGCUAGUUGGUACGGUAACGGCUUACCAAGGCAACGAUGCAUAGCCGACCGGAGAGGGUGGUCGGCCGCACUGGAAGUGAGACACGGUCCAGACUCCUACGGGAGGCAGCAGUAGGGAAUCUUCCGCAAUGGGCGAGAGCCUGACGGAGAAACGCCGAGUGAGUGGUGAAGGUCUUCGGAUCGUAAAACUCUGUUAUUAGGGAAGAACAUAUGUGUAAGUAACUGUGCACAGCUUGACGGUACCUAAUAAGAAAGCCACGGCUAACUACGUG
Molecule: ribosomal RNA, 497 nt
Filed under: uncultured bacterium
Lineage: Bacteria
Description: partial 16S ribosomal RNA
Rfam family: Bacterial small subunit ribosomal RNA
Source: RNAcentral